This 200-nucleotide ribosomal RNA is filed under the name uncultured bacterium. Its description in RNAcentral is "partial 16S ribosomal RNA". It matches the Rfam family "Bacterial small subunit ribosomal RNA", at positions 30 to 226 of the family's 1533-position model. The record is from RNAcentral.
AUUGAACGCUGGCGGAAUGCUUUACACAUGCAAGUCGAGCGGCAGCACGGGAGCUUGCUCCUGGUGGCGAGUGGCGGAACGGGUGAGUAAUAUAUCGGAACGUAUCCAAUAAUGGGGGAUAACUAAGCGAAAGCUUGGCUAAUACCGCAUACGCCCUGGAGGGGGAAAGCUAGGGAUCUUCGGACCUGGCGUUGAUGGAG